This 837-nucleotide long non-coding RNA is filed under the name Danio rerio (zebrafish). RNAcentral's name for it is "si:ch73-352p4.7 (ENSDARG00000100253.2)". Lineage: Eukaryota; Metazoa; Chordata; Actinopteri; Cypriniformes; Danionidae. The record is from RNAcentral.
GGAGUUUUGAGUUUGUGGAGGAGUGGAGAGAGACACGGGACUGGAGGUGGGCAGGAACAGUGACUGACCCAGAGGAAGCUGAAUGGGUACCAGGUACGAGUCAGUCCGAGGCAGUAGAGGCUUCAUCUUCCUCUCUGAGAGCAAAAAGACCAUCAGAAAACAGUCUCACACCAUAACACUCUGUGAUUUGACCAAACACUCACCUGUGCCACCCAAUGCAGGAACAAAUCAAGAGAUGAUCUGAAGCUGACGGCAUCCUUCUGUCUGUCCCUGAAAUAAAAUAACUGUAAGGAGAGAAGCUGCUGUCUGUCUUACACCCUGUGCUUCUGCCAUGAGAAGAGGAAUUAGCGUAGCUUACUUGAUGGAUAGCAACUUGUGGGAUCUGAGGGCAAGUGGGGGUCAACGGGUCACCCAAAGGCUGUGGGAUGAGCCGGGAAAUAAGAGAUGACCACAUUUUACAAAACAGCACUGUGGGUUCAUAAUGAAGCCAUUAGGUUAUUUAUAUUAAGACUAAAGUAAGAUAUACACACCUUAUAGACUUGGUCCAGAGUGAGACAGCGGUUUGCUUCUGGUCGAAUCGUCCAAUAGGAGAUCUUGCCAUCAGGAGAUGUUUCUCGGAUGAACAUGUCAUGCAGUGACAGAUUAUGGCGUAUGGAAUUCUGAUAAAAUAGUGAAACGUACAUUGGUCAUUUUACAUUAGAAGGUUGAAACUCUGUUGGCUUUCUACACUACCUUCCAACCAGGUUUGGCGACAUCUCUGAAGUACGGAAAAUGAUCUUCGAUCCAGUUGUAAAUCUCCUUCAGGGUCAUGUGUCUGUUAUUCUUGCUGUUUAUCGC